RNAcentral lists this ribosomal RNA (1380 nucleotides) under uncultured bacterium. RNAcentral's name for it is "16S ribosomal RNA". It matches the Rfam family "Bacterial small subunit ribosomal RNA". The record is from RNAcentral.
UUCGCCCUUAGAGUUUGAUCCUGGCUCAGGACGAACGCUGGCGGCGCGCCUAACACAUGCAAGUCGAACGGAGCUUAGAGAGCUUGCUUUUUAAGCUUAGUGGCGAACGGGUGAGUAACGCGUGAGUAACCUGCCCUAGAGUGGGGGACAACAGUUGGAAACGACUGCUAAUACCGCAUAAGCCCACGGUGCCGCAUGACACUGAGGAAAAGGAUUUAUUCGCUUUAGGAUGGACUCGCGUCCAAUUAGCUAGUUGGUGAGGUAACGGCCCACCAAGGCGACGAUUGGUAGCCGGACUGAGAGGUUGAACGGCCACAUUGGGACUGAGACACGGCCCAGACUCCUACGGGAGGCAGCAGUGGGGGAUAUUGCACAAUGGGGGAAACCCUGAUGCAGCGACGCCGCGUGGAGGAAGAAGGUUUUCGGAUUGUAAACUCCUGUCGUUAGGGACGAUAAUGACGGUACCUAACAAGAAAGCACCGGCUAACUACGUGCCAGCAGCCGCGGUAAAACGUAGGGUGCAAGCGUUGUCCGGAAUUACUGGGUGUAAAGGGAGCGCAGGCGGGAAGACAAGUUGGAAGUGAAAACCAUGGGCUCAACCCAUGAAUUGCUUUCAAAACUGUUUUUCUUGAGUAGUGCAGAGGUAGAUGGAAUUCCCGGUGUAGCGGUGGAAUGCGUAGAUAUCGGGAGGAACACCAGUGGCGAAGGCGGUCUACUGGGCACUAACUGACGCUGAGGCUCGAAAGCAUGGGUAGCAAACAGGAUUAGAUACCCUGGUAGUCCAUGCCGUAAACGAUGAUUACUAGGUGUUGGGGGAUUGACCCCCUCAGUGCCGCAGUUAACACAAUAAGUAAUCCACCUGGGGAGUACGACCGCAAGGUUGAAACUCAAAGGAAUUGACGGGGGCCCGCACAAGCAGUGGAGUAUGUGGUUUAAUUCGAAGCAACGCGAAGAACCUUACCAGGUCUUGACAUCCGAUGCAUAGCACAGAGAUGUGUGAAAUCCUUCGGGACAUCGAGACAGGUGGUGCAUGGUUGUCGUCAGCUCGUGUCGUGAGAUGUUGGGUUAAGUCCCGCAACGAGCGCAACCCUUAUUGCCAGUUACUACGUUAAGAGGACUCUGGCGAGACUGCCGUUGACAAAACGGAGGAAGGUGGGGAUGACGUCAAAUCAUCAUGCCCUUUAUGACCUGGGCUACACACGUACUACAAUGGCGUUAAACAAAGAGAAGCAAGACCGCGAGGUGGAGCAAAACUCAAAAACAACGUCUCAGUUCAGAUUGCAGGCUGCAACUCGCCUGCAUGAAGUUGGAGUUGCUAGUAAUCGCGGAUCAGCAUGCCGCGGUGAAUACGUUCCCGGGCCUUGCACUCACCGCCCGUCA